UUAAGCAAGAAAACAAAAAAUCAAAUUUAUUUUGAUUACAUUGACUUCUGAUCUGUGACUACAUUGUUGUAGAUUUAUUAAGUAGAUAAUAAUGAAUAAAAAGGAGCAUAUUAUGAACAUUUAAAAUAUAAUCAAUAAAAAUGUACAUCAUCUAAUAACUUUGUAAACUCAUUCAAUCCAUACCUCUAGCAUCUACAUCUCAAACAUUUUCAUUUUUUUAUCUCUAAAUAAUUUGUAAAAAAAAAUUACUCUCUUGUGCUAAGAAAACAAAAAGUAAGGGUACCGCUAACUAUUAAGAAAUGUUACUCUUAGUUUCCUAAAUGAAACUGUUAAACAUCAACUCAAUUCAAGCUCCAAUCAUCACACUUGAUUAGGACAUCACAGUAACUAUAAAUGUAGCCAAAACUUUAAUCUCUCUUAUGCAAAAAACUUAAGUUGAUGUAAAUGGUAUUGUUUAAGUUAAACAGUUUUUUUUUAAGCCAUAGUCCUGGACAAAAAAAUAUUUUUUUCUUUUAACAUGUGCUGGAAUGCAUUUCUGAAAACCUACCUGAGUGGGUCUCAAAUAAAAAUGACAUGUUCCAGCAUCACGCAAACUUGUCAUUUAAAUAUUAUUGUCAAUGAUGUCAUACUUUAAAAUAUCUAUAAAAAAAAAAUAUGUUUAACAAUGUAAUCAUGACCUGAAAUAUCAAAGAUUUUAUUUUUGUUUCAUCUUAUGUGGACACUCAUGAGAACUGCUACAACAUGGCGAGUUACAAAAUUUAGAGCAUUGAUAUCAAGGGAGUUUAUCAGUUAAUGCCAUUUAUCUUUGCUCUAAUUAGUUGACACACAUGCCUUCCAUGAGCAUUUAGAUUGCAACUCA
Molecule: non-coding RNA, 859 nt
Organism: Biomphalaria pfeifferi
Lineage: Eukaryota; Metazoa; Mollusca; Gastropoda; Planorbidae
Source: the annotation of a GenBank genome assembly